Molecule: transfer RNA, 76 nt
Filed under: Pyrinomonadaceae bacterium
Lineage: Bacteria; Pseudomonadati; Acidobacteriota; Blastocatellia; Blastocatellales; Pyrinomonadaceae
Also listed under: 1 other name
Description: tRNA-Ala
Rfam family: tRNA
About the family: Transfer RNA (tRNA) molecules are approximately 80 nucleotides in length. Their secondary structure includes four short double-helical elements and three loops (D, anti-codon, and T loops).
Source: RNAcentral
GGGGCCAUAGCUCAGCUGGGAGAGCGUUUGACUGGCAGUCAAAAGGUCGGGAGUUCGAUCCUCCCUGGCUCCACCA